GACGAACGCUGGCGGCGUGCUUAACACAUGCAAGUCGAGCGGUAAGGCCCUUUCGGGGGUACACGAGCGGCGAACGGGUGAGUAACACGUGGGUGACCUGCCCUCUGCUCUGGGAUAAGCCUGGGAAACCGGGUCUAAUACCGGAUAUGACUCCAUGACGCAUGUUGUGGGGUGGAAAGCCUUGUGCGGCUGAGGAUGGGCCCGCGGCCUAUCAGCUUGUUGGUGGGGUGGAUGGCCUACCAA
Molecule: ribosomal RNA, 243 nt
Filed under: uncultured bacterium
Lineage: Bacteria
Description: partial 16S ribosomal RNA
Rfam family: Bacterial small subunit ribosomal RNA
Source: RNAcentral